This 497-nucleotide ribosomal RNA is filed under the name uncultured bacterium. RNAcentral describes it as "partial 16S ribosomal RNA". It matches the Rfam family "Bacterial small subunit ribosomal RNA", at positions 28 to 507 of the family's 1533-position model. The record is from RNAcentral.
GAUGAACGCUGGCGGCGUGCCUAAUACAUGCAAGUCGAGCGAACAGACGAGGAGCUUGUUCCCCUGACGUUAGCGGCGGACGGGUGAGUAACACGUGGAUAACCUACCUAUAAGACUGGGAUAACUUCGGGAAACCGGAGCUAAUACCGGAUAAUAUAUUGAACCGCAUGGUUUAAUAGUGAAAGACGGUUUUGCCGCCACCAAUAGAUGGAUCCGCGCAUCAUUGGCUAGUUGGUAAGGUAACGGCUUACCAAGGCAACGAAGCGAGGCCGACCGAGGGGGGGGUUCGGCCACACUGGAACUGGAACACGGUCCAGACUCCUACGGAGGGCGGCGUUGGGGAACUUUCCGCAUGGAGCGAAGUCCUACCGGGGCAACGCGGCGGAGUUGAGGAAGGUUUUCGGUUCGAAAGACUCUGUUAUUGGGAAGAACCAGAGGUGUAAGUAAAUGUGCACGUCGUGACGGUACCUAAUCAGAAAGCCACGGCUAACUACGUG